UGGGGAAUAUUGCACAAUGGGCGCAAGCCUGAUGCAGCCAUGCCGCGUGUAUGAAGAAGGCCUUCGGGUUGUAAAGUACUUUCAGCGGGGAGGAAGGGAGUAAAGUUAAUACCUUUGCUCAUUGACGUUACCCGCAGAAGAAGCACCGGCUAACUCCGUGCCAGCAGCCGCGGUAAUACGGAGGGUGCAAGCGUUAAUCGGAAUUACUGGGCGUAAAGCGCACGCAGGCGGUUGAUUGAGUCAGAUGUGAAAUCCCCGGGCUUAACCCGGGAAUUGCAUCUGAUACUGGUCAGCUAGAGUCUUGUAGAGGGGGGUAGAAUUCCAUGUGUAGCGGUGAAAUGCGUAGAGAUGUGGAGGAAUACCGGUGGCGAAGGCGGCCCCCUGGACAAAGACUGACGCUCAGGUGUGAAAGCGUGGGGAGCAAACAGG
This 429-nucleotide ribosomal RNA is filed under the name Chloroflexota bacterium. Its description in RNAcentral is "Chloroflexi bacterium partial 16S ribosomal RNA". It matches the Rfam family "Bacterial small subunit ribosomal RNA", at positions 355 to 776 of the family's 1533-position model. The record is from RNAcentral. Lineage: Bacteria; Bacillati; Chloroflexota.